Molecule: unclassified non-coding RNA, 252 nt
Filed under: Phylloporus sp.
Lineage: Eukaryota; Fungi; Basidiomycota; Agaricomycetes; Boletales; Boletaceae
Description: partial contains small subunit ribosomal RNA, internal transcribed spacer 1, and 5.8S ribosomal RNA
Rfam family: Eukaryotic small subunit ribosomal RNA (bases 1-46)
Source: RNAcentral
AAGUCGUAACAAGGUUUCCGUAGGUGAACCUGCGGAAGGAUCAUUAAAAAAUCGUUUGAGCCGCAAGGCUCUAUUAUUUUGUGCAACGUAUGUGUUGUUGUGUGUGGGGUGGAGUGGGGGUGCGCUCUGAAAGGAGCGUGCUCUCGCGCCGGCCUGCUCCGCUACUACACCUUAUUAAACUUAUGUCUUUGAUGCUGAGGAAAUAUAUCUAUAAUAUAUAUACAACUUUCAACAGUGGAUCUCUCGGCUCUU